AGGAUUAACGCUGGCGGCGUGCAUGAAACAUGCAAGUCGAGCGCGGUGUGAUGCGGGGUAACCCAAUUCACAUCUAGCGGCGAACGGGUGAGUAACACGUGAGCAACCUACCUUUGAGUUGGGGAUAGCCCUGGGAAACCAGGAUUAAUACCCGAUGUGGUCACAACAGGACAUCCUGAUGUGAGUAAAGGCGUAAGCCGCUCAAUGACGGGCUCGCGGCCUAUUAGCUUGUUGGUGGGGUAACGGCCUACCAAGGCGAUGAUGGGUAGCUGGUCUGAGAGGACGAUCAGCCACACUGGGACUGAGACACGGCCCAGACUCCUACGGGAGGCAGCAGUUAGGAAUUUUCCGCAAUGGGCGAAAGCCUGACGGAGCAACGCCGCGUGAGUGACGAAGGCUUUCUGAGUUGUAAACCUCUUUCAGCAGGGACGAUUGUGACGGUACCUGCAGAACGAAGCCCCGGCCAACUACGCGCCAGCAGCCG
This 484-nucleotide ribosomal RNA is filed under the name uncultured bacterium. RNAcentral describes it as "SSU rRNA". It matches the Rfam family "Bacterial small subunit ribosomal RNA", at positions 26 to 517 of the family's 1533-position model. The record is from RNAcentral.